This 375-nucleotide ribosomal RNA is filed under the name uncultured bacterium. RNAcentral describes it as "bacterial SSU rRNA". It matches the Rfam family "Bacterial small subunit ribosomal RNA", at positions 29 to 419 of the family's 1533-position model. The record is from RNAcentral.
AAUGAACGUUGGCGGCGUGGAUUAGGCAUGCAAGUCGCGCGAGAAAUUUCCUUCGGGAGAUGGACAGCGGCGAAAGGGAGAGGAAUACGUAGAAAUCUGCCCUCGAGCCUGGGAUAGCGGCGGGAAACUGCCGGUAAUACCAGAUAACGUCUUCGGACCAAAGGUGUGAUUCCGCUUGAGGAUGAGUCUACGUCCUAUUAGCUAGUUGGUGGGGUAAUGGCCUACCAAGGCAACGAUGGGUAGCGGGUGUGAGAGCACGAUCCGCCUCACUGGGACUGAGACACUGCCCAGACACCUACGGGUGCUGCAGUCGAGAAUCUUCGGCAAUGGGGGAAACCCUGACCGAGCGACGCCGCGUGCGGGAUGAAGGCCCUC